RNAcentral lists this long non-coding RNA (17893 nucleotides) under Populus trichocarpa (black cottonwood). RNAcentral's name for it is "long non-coding RNA (PTRI_LNC002671)". The record is from RNAcentral. Lineage: Eukaryota; Viridiplantae; Streptophyta; Magnoliopsida; Malpighiales; Salicaceae.
GCUUUUGGUCAUCUUUACGAUAGAGAACGAGGUUACCAAAUUGGUUUAUGAAGAGAAAUCCAGAGGAACCAAUGAUUGGAUCGUUCCUGUUUGCAACCCACACCACAGUUUGUUCAGGUAUUUUAUGGUACCAAAUUCCAAGGUAUCUAUUGGUUGAACUGCCAGGACUGAAAAAUCCUAGUGCGAAAAUAUUUCCUUUGGAGAUAAGAAGGUCACCUUCUUUAAUGGUGUGGUUCGUCUUUAAGGAGUCUUGGGAUGUGCAAGAUGAGAAUUGGAGCAUUAUAAGAGAAAAAAGCAGGAACAGUUUUUCAGCUUCCAUGAUGCAGUAAACUGGAUCCUGGCUUUUGGAAAAGUGUUAAAGUUUGCUUUGUGGAGAAUGGAUAUGGCCUUCAGACAAGUCUCCAGAGAAGUUGCGUGACGGAAUUAGGCAUCUCUUUAAUGAGUUACUCUUUUCAACCUUCAAAGUCUAGGCAAUGACUUGUUUUUGUUAAAAUAUCAAUCCAGAUUUUUUGGAAACGACACCGUCCUCUAGUUUUAGAAAUAUGUAGGAGGCUGCAGACGCAUAAAAAACCAACAUAAAAAAGACAAUAAACACAAAGAAAGAUAGAAUUGCGUCGAAAAAGACAUCAGCCAUAAUAAUUAUGAUUCAAACUUUUAUCACUCAAUAUUUUUUAAUUAAAUUUAAAUAUUAAAGCUCUUCUAGACUAUUAUAUACUAGGAAAAACACACUAAACAAAACUUAAAAAUUAAUAAAAUAUUUCAAAGUAAAUAGAAAAAAAUAAUCUAAAUUAACUUGAAAAAUAUAAUAUUUUCAAAAUAGAAAUUUAUAGUUAUAGUUUGGAGGACUUAACGAACUAAGAUGACUUCAUAAAUCGGACCUAUAGGGAACAUUGUCUCUAAAAUCAAAAUUUAUGUUCAUUAUCAUAAGGUCAUGAUGUAUCGGAUGAAAAUCUUCUAUAUCAGUUUUCUCAUGUUGAAAAUAACUCGUUCUUAAAUUUAAAUUGUUCUUGUUUUGAUCUCGUGAAUACAUAAUCAAAGCUCUUCAACUCCUUUCCAUUCUUCCCUUAAGGUAUAUAACAAUACUAGAUAUCAACUUUAGUUUUUUAUCAACAAAUGUUGUGUAAGCCCUAGAUAAAAUAAAAUUUGAUAGUAGCUAUCUUGAAUGGUUACCUUAAUGAAAAGAAAUGAAUGGAAAAUAAUCAUAAUAUAUAUAUAUAAUUUCAUAAAUAGCUGAAAAAUAAAAAAUACAAAAACAUGAAUAAGUACCGGAUGGAAAUGGAUUAUGAUGAAAUAAAUCUACUGGGAUGUAAAUUAAUGAAAAUCAAAAUAACUUGGAUAAAAAGGUGGUCUAACCUGUAUCGGUACUUAGAAAUUUUAUGUUAAAAGCAUGAAAAGUUACUAUUAAGGGACAUGAAUGAAAUUAAUUAAAUUGUUAUAAUUUAUAAGUUAUUAACAAGGGGAAUAGGCCGGCCAUAGGAGAGAAAGAAAGGAAAAAGGAAAAAAUCAAGAGAAAAACAAGAAAACGUGAGAGAGCUUUGAAACUUGUAAGAUUGAUAGACGACUGAAAACAUUAAAUUAAAUAAGAAUCAAGUAAAGAAAAAUAGAAGAAAUGAGAGAAGGGUCAGCCAUACUAACAGGAGAAGAGAAGUUGGGAGAACUUAGAUUGGUAAGCAUGAAAAAUUAAGAUUCUUACUUGAAUGAAGUGUUUUUAAGUUUAUUUGAGUAAAUUCUCAAACUAUGACAAUUCAAUUUGAUUUAAUUUCUUAUAUUCUUGACCUUUUAAAUUAGAGUUCUUAUGAGAAAUUUAAGGAUUUCAAAAAAAGAAAUAAGCAUGAUGGAAUUAAAGUGCAAUACUAUAGAAAUAGUGAAUUUAAGUAGUAAUUAAGAAAGAAAUUGGAUUAUAACUAAAAAUGAGAAAAUAGAGGGAUAAGGUUUUGAUUGUUUUAUAUUUAAAAAAUAAUGUUUUUUAUCUUAUUUAAAAUAUUCAAAGUAUGACAAGUCAAAGAAACAUCAUAAUAAUAUAAAAAGAUAAAUGGUAAGAAUAGUUCAUUAUAGUCGCCCUGAAACACAGAAACAGUGGGGCCUUCCAGUAAUCCUUCCACUGACCAUCACUUUCUCGCCAUGUUAACACCUUUAGAAUGAUCUACUAUCAUUCUUAGCAGAUAAGAAUCAUCAGGAACCGUGUAGACCCAGUAUAUCAUCUGGAUCAUUUACAAAAGCGCUUUUGUAUAAGCCCAUUUGACUUCUCCAUGGCCAAGGAGGAGAUCUACUAAUUGGCUUUGUACCAUUAUAGACAAAGAUUUGCGGUGAGCGAUUUGGGUUGAUCAUAAGGGAAAAAGUCUCCAAUCCCAGGGUCAUCAGCUGAUCUCCAUGAUGUUAGAAACCGAUCAAUUCCUAAUUUUCGAUCGAGCCCCAAUUUCAUCCCAGGUAGGUGGGUGCUUGUAAGAUAAUCGAAGCUUUGCGAUACAAUGUUUCUGCUUCUUUUCCUGACCAGUAUCAAAUUCCCAGAAUCCAAGAGUUGAGCUGCACAGAUAUCAUUUUCUUCCACUGAAUCAUUUGUAGACCACACAGGAAGCUUUUGGUCAUCGUUACCAUAGAGAACGAGGUUUCCAGACUGGUUUAUAAAGAGAAAUCCAGAGGAACCAAUGAUUGGAUCGUUCCUGAUUGCAACCCACACCACAGUUUGUUCUGGUAUUUUAUGGUGCCAAAUUCCAAGAUAUCUAUUGGUAGAACUGCCAGGACUGAAAAUCCUAGUGCCAAAAUAUAUCCUUCGGAGAUAAGAAGGUCACCUUCUUUUUUAGAUUAAAGGUGUCCGAUCUUUGCGUGUAUCUCGAUUAAUUUUAUAAAUUUAAAAUUAAUAAUUAUAUAAUUAUCCAAUGACUAUCAUAUUAGCAAUUACUCUCUCAAACUUAAAAUCAUAAAAAAAAUCAAACUUUUUAUUCCUAUCUUCCUAUCACUGGAUACUUACUAGAUAGUUGAAGGUCACUUUCUUUAAUGGUGUGGUUGGUCUUUAAGGAGUCUUGGGAUGUACAAGAUGAGAACAGUUUUCCAUUUUCCAUUUUCCAUGAUGGGGCAAACCGGACCUCGGCUUCUGGAGAAAGGAGAUGGUCUUCAGACAAGUGUGGGACCAUUAGUGAAGUUCGGUGAAAAAAGUCUUUAUUUUGGGAUUUUUCUUUAUGGGUUGGGUGCUUGUAACAGUGGUUUUUAAAUUGUUGUUUUUUAAAAAUAUAUUAAAAUAAUUUUUAAUAUCAAUAAAUUAAAAUGAUUUAAAUAAAUAAAAAAUUUAAUUUUAGACAAUUGUUUUUUUGAAUUUUUACAAAUUUCUAUUUAAAACACUACGAAGGCCACUCAAUUUUUUUUUAAGUUUGAUUUUAAUUUAUAAUAAACUAGUUUGAUAUAAUAUAUAUUAUGGUUAUAUCUAAGAUUUUUGAUGAUUAUUUAAGACAUGAGUUCUCUAAUAUACCUCAAAUUUACUAGAUUAAUGAUAUUAUUAAAGAUGAUGGUUUUUGACAUAUAUUAAUUAAAGUAAUUAGCCAAAUUGUGAUUCAAAGAUGUGAACAUCACAAUAAUGGAAAUUGAUUUGUCCUACAAAAUCAUAAAUCAUCAAAAUAAGGAGUUUUUUUUUUUUUGAUUUACGUGGGGUGUCCGGGCCAGCUUACGCGCACCACGACUAUUCCCCACGGCCCACUGUAGUUUUUUCAAUCAUCAUUCAUCUAGUUGAAUUAAUUUUUUUUUCAAACUAAGGAGUUUUAGAUUAGGACACAUUAUGCUUAAAUGCUAAUUCCUGAGAGAGUAUUUUAAUUCAUUGCAAGCAUUCGUGCGUUUUGGAUAAGAUAUGGUCAUCUAGCCAGGUGGCACGCAUCGUUUGGCCGAGGCCACAUGCAGGGGUAGGAAUUUUUGCCUUCAGGUGUUUUUUCUAUUCUGGCUUUUCAGUCCAAGUUUUGUAUAGCUGUGAGACCUUUUGCUGACGGUAAGUGAAAAUAUCAUAAUCCCAAUUAUGAGUCUGAUGAAAAUAAUAUUUAUUUACUAUUCUAAUAUUUAUUUUAUAUGAUUUGAUUUUUAUUAGUUAUGUCAAGUUAAUUUAUUAUUUAAAACAAUGUUAUACUUUAGUGGCAUUCCAUAAUUGAUAUUUAAAAUUUAUUAAAUCAGAAUUAUUUUUAUUGUUUAACUACAAUUUUCAAAUUUAAGAAACUUUGAUUUAUUAAUUUCCCCAUGCACUGCAUCGCUUGAACUUUAGUCUUUAGGGUUUUCUUUCAAGUGGGCAGCAUGAGAAGAUACGCAUCAAAACUAACAAAUAUCAAUCGGACAACAUAUCGUGUUUUUAUGUUUUUUUUUUUUACUUUUAGUUUUUAAAUGCAAGAUUCAAGAAGAUACUGUUUUUUAAUAUUAAAAUAGUGAUAUAUUAAAAUUUAUUUUUAAAUAUUAAAAUAAUAAUAUAUUAGAUAGACGUUAAUUAAAUUUAUAAUCAAAGUUAUAAGACCGUAACAACUUUAUAAAAAAAAUUAAAAUAAAUAAUUAUGUUCAAUCUAAAACAAUCUAAAAAUAAUCUAACAAUAAAGAAUGAAAUUAAAAAUUAAAAAAAGGUUAAAAAAAGAUUUAAAUGAACCUAAGUGAUUAAUUUGUUAAAUCUACGAUUCGAGUUAUCUAUUCCACACUUGACAACUUUUUUUUUCUCUUAUAUUAUUUUGCAUUUAAUUACACAACAAAAAAUCUAAAAAUAAAGAACAAACAUGACAUGCGUGUUGGAUUAAAAAAAAAAAUUUAACUAACAAAGGUUUUUUAUUUUAUUUUUUAUCUUCAGGGGAGCUGAAAAUGCAUUAAGUAAAAAAUAAAAACAUUUUUCAAAAAAUUAACAAUCCAUCCAGGGGCAUGACCCACCCUUCCACCUGACCUAUAUAAAAAUAGAAAUUAAAAUUAAAAAUAUUUAAUGAAAAACAGGUUUUAAAAAAUAGAAAUAAAAACUGAGUUAAUAUGUUAUACCCACAACCUGAGUCAUUCAUCCCACUGAAUUUAAUACCAUAUUAUUUAUUAAGAUAUUUUUCAUUUUGUUAUACAUUAAUGGAUGCAAGAUAUUUUUUAUAUCAAAUAAAAAAAAAACAAAUAGGAUAGGCACGUGAGACAACACAAUGGCUUAUUUUUUAAAGUUAAAUAAGAAAAAAUGGUUUGUUAUAAGCCAAUUUAGAAAGGAAAAAAAAAAGAAAAAGAAGAGGUCGCAUGUAUUAUCUAUGCAAUGAUCACGAAAACAUACCAAAUAAAAUAUCAUGAAGUGAGUAUAUCAUAUCUAUAUCUAAGCAAUUCACUUAAUUUAACUAAAAAAACAAAAUUUAUUUUUUAAGAAAAGCUAAAUUUAACAAAAAACGAAAAAAAAAACUCUAGAAAACCUAAGUUAUUUUUAAAAUCAGUAACAAAACCCUAUAGACUGUAAAUAAAAAAAGAAAACUCAAUAUCUAAUUAAAUCAAACAUUGAAGGAUGAAACCAAAAAAACAUAAGCUUGAAAAAAAAACAAAAAAUAAAUUAGAACAAAUACUCAAAAUCUAAGUUAAUCUCCUAAAUUCAUAACCUAUUAAAUCUUAGAUCUAAACUCAAUAAAACAUUACAAGAUUUAACAGUUUGAUAUAAUAUAUAUAUUAUGUUUAUAUUUAAGAUUUUGGAUGAUUAUUUAAGAUAUGAGUUCUCUAAUAUACCUCAAAUUUGCUAGAUCAAUGAUAUUAUCGAAGAUGAUGAGUUUUCAAUUAAGAAAGAAUAUUAAUUUGGUGUUGAUCGAUAUUGAUGUUGACACUUUUGUUAUACUUAAAAUUAGAAUCAAUAUUCACAACAUAUAUUUAGCAGAGUAAUUGGCCAUAUUGUGAUUCAAAGAUAUUGUGAAUAUCACAAUACAUGACUUUAUUCUUAGUUUAUUGUGCAUGUUAUGAGAUAAAUUGAAAUUGAUUUGUCCUCCAAAAUCAUAAAUCAUAUAAUUGAGAUUGUAAAAUUAAAAAAAAAAGUUUAGUAAUGGUACUUUGUUGUUACUAAUCUUAAAAAGGGAAAGAAUUGAUACAUGCGGAUGUGAUAAGUUUUAAAUAGGGGUGAGCAAAAAAACCGAUAAACCGAUUAAACUGAGAAAACCGGAAAAAAAAUAACUAAAAAAAUUGAAUCGAAAAAAAAAACCGAAUUAACCAAUUAAAAAAUCACAAAAAAUUUCCGGUUCGGUUCGGUUUCGGUUUCUAAAGUCUAAAACCGAUUGAACCGAACCAAACCGAACCGGUUCAACUAACCAACACUUAAAAAAAAAAACAAGUAUAAAUACAUUGUUUUCUAACCCUGGAAUAUCUGCCAUCAGCCGCCCCCCCUCUCCCUCUCAUUUUACGCUCUGCUUUGCUUUGAUUUUCAUCCCCUCCCUUAUGGAUUUGGAUUCUCCUGUUGAGUCUCUGUCAGAAAUGGAAUUGGAAUAGUAGAUCCAUUCUUUUUCUUUUGUUUUUCAUAUAGGAUUUCUAACAAGUGGAUUUCUACACCCCCCUGCCAUUUGAUUAAUUACAAUGAAAUGGAUGAACGAUCCCUCGAAGAAUCAAACCCACUCCCAUCUACGUCCAUCAAAAUCUGCUGAUCAAAUCACAUAAAGGUCUGUUAAACAUAACCCAUUCACCAUACUGUGUGGUUGGCUCAACUGAGACAGAGAGUGACGAAGAAGAUUACUUGGUUGGGUUAACUCGCCAAAUGGCUGGGUUUGGCCAUGGAAGCUUGAAUGGGUCUUCACCUCCAUCAACUUGGGAUCUGCUGUACGAGGCUACAGGAGAAGUUGAGAGGACCAUUGGGUUUGAACCGGUUUGGAAGGGAAAAAAACCAAACCGAACCGAACCGAAAUUAAAUAUAGAUUGUCUACUUUUUAAGUGACUUUUAUUUUUUUAGGAUACAAACGGACUAGUAGGAAUGUGAGGAUUAUAGUUUCCUAUCAUAUAAAAAGAAAGAGAGAGAGGAAGAGAGGGAGGCGGCAAAAAAAAGAAAGAAACUCUCAUCUUUUUUCCUACACUCAAAAUUAUGUUUUCAUCUUUUCUUUUCCUUAGAUUUUUUAUAGUCAUACAAGACUAAGUUUUUUUUCAUGGUUGAAAGGAUACAGAAGCCUUCAGAUUUAAAAAAAUUAUGAGAUUUAUUUUAUCUUUUCUUUUCAGUUUAUAUGAUGAGUAUGAAUGUUUUUCUAUGCUUCUUUCUAUGAUUGUUUAGUUUAAUUGAUUAAAACGGUCUCUAAGUUAUUAUUCUAACCAAUCUAUUGCUAAGUUUUCUAUCAAAAUCAGAGUUGUGAUAUUUAACUUGUGAAGCGACUAAGUUUAAUACUUAUAAAAGAUCUAUGCUAUUAAUUUUAGAGAAAACAUUCAAUUAAAUUGAACAUAGACUGCAGACAGUUAUGUUGUCUAGAUUUAUCAACCUAUCUAGAUCUUAAGGCUGCCGUUGAAUUAAAUUGCUAGUGCGGACGCAGUGGUUGUUUAAUGGUUAGGUUAGUUAUACUGCAGAUUAGUUAACUGAUUAAUAUUAAGAAAAGAUAAAUAUUUAGAACAUGAAUUGAUGAAUCGUUUCAAUAAUCAAUUUUGAUUUAUGUCGGUGGACAUUUACUUGAAAAGUUUUUCUCUUAAUAAGUUUCGGUUUAUUUAACUUAGUUUGAUUACUUUAUUUUGUUUACCCUACCAUAACUUAGAUAAUCUCAACCCCCCAACUUUGAAUCAUUUAGCAUAAAGACUCAAACUAGAUCUUUCUCGUGGGAUCGACCCCUUAUUUGCUCUAUAUUAUCUUAUUUAUUUAAGUUAGGGUAAUUAAUUUGUGUGAUCGCGAUAUCGCAACACAAAUACAUAUAGCUUAAAAUAUAUUCAAAGAACUUUUGCAAUCAUAAAUAUAUUUUUAUAAAACACUUAACAUUAUUUACAAAAUCAUUUACAUGCAUGAUCCACCUAAUUUACAAAACUAUAAUAUUUAUUUGAAAAACUCAUUUUGUACGUAAAUAUAUAUUUUCUAACUUAAAAUAACAAACCAAAGUGAUGAAAUAUUACUUGCGUGUUAUGCAAAUCCAAUAUUAGUCUUAGAGACAACCAAGCACUCCUAAUAACCUAAUAAUAACAAUCACUAUAAAUUAUAUGCUCACUGAUAUCCGAUGCAAUAUAUGAGCUUGUUUCUAAUUCUUAGUUUAAUAAAAAAAUUAAAUAUAUCACUUGCUUAAAUGACCCUAUAAUUCCCAUGAAAAAUCACUCAAUACUAGAAAUGUGUUAUUACAACCCCUUAUUUUACUUAUAAAAUAUCUAUUUUUAAUAAUUAAAUACCAAAAAUCACCCAAUACUAGAACCAUGUUAUUACAACCCCCUAUUUUACUUUAAAAAUAUCUAUUUUUAAUAAUUAAAUACCAAAAAUAAUUAUGUAAAACAUAUGACUAUUAUAGUUCAAAUUAAAUAACAUUAUAAAAUCUAUUAGGAAAGGAUAAUAAAUAUUUUUAUUUCAACUAAAACAAUAUUAUAAGUAUAAUUAAAGUGGAGGUGUCAAAAAUUAUUAAGUGCAACUAUUUUUUUAAAAUAAUUUAUUUAGUAAAUAAAUUAAUUCAUAUACAAAUCAAGUUCUUUAUGAAAUACUUUUCAUUUAUUCAAAUUCUACAUGAAAAGAAAUUGAUAGUGGUAUAUUAAAAUGUUUAAAACUUAAUUAUAAAAGUUAUUCAUCACUCUUCAAAAUAAAUUUUAGUUAUUAACUACUAAAUUUCACUAAUAAAAAAUAUUUUUUUCAUAAAUUUAAAAAUACUUAAAAAAAUAUUAAAAGCACACUAAAAUUUCCUAUUAACAUAUUAAAUAGAAACAAUAAACUUUAGGGUCAUAAAAUAUUCAGGGAGAAUUGCACUCUUUAACUAAAAAAAAUUAAAGAAUAUUUAUAAACUUAUAAAUUACAAAUUUAAGUGACUUACAUCCGACAGACAUAAUUUUUAAUCCAUAACUUUGAUUAGUGCAAAUGACCCAUCAAAUUAAAGAACUUACAACAUACUAUAACUAGGUAAUAAAUCCCAACCAUAACAAUCAUUAGAAGAUUAGAUUCUGACAGUCCAAAAUUACCAACUCAUCUUUUUUUUUUUUCAAAUCCUUUAAUUUCACUAUUACUUCAAAUUAAUCUACUAAAAACAUGUAAAAUCACUUGUAAUGAGUUCCUAUCAAUCUAUGACACCAUUAGUAUUAUAUCCUGUCCUUAAAAGUAAUUAAAAACCAAAUAUACAUAAUUCCAAAACCUUUCUAAAUAACCCUAAAAUGCAUAAAAAAAAUUAUUUAAAAUAUAAGGAUAGAAAAAACAUACCUCAAAUUGGUAAAAAAAAAUAAAGAUUUUGACCAUAAAUCAAAUCUCCUCCUUGAGCUUCCUAUCCUUCUCUCUAUUGAUAUGGGUUUUAAUCGUAUGACAAGAUAGAGUGUAAGUUACUAUAGAGUAUUAUUUUAUUUUUAUCCUUUAAAUUAAUAUGUAAUUACUAAUAUAUUUAUUGUUACUAUAAUACCCUUAAUUAAUAAAAAAUAGAAAAUCCAAUUUAUUAUUUUAUUUUAUUUAUUAUUACUAUUUUUUUUCUUUCACACUUAAAAUGAAGAAAAUUGAGCCAAGGUCAACUUGGAAAUGACAAUGAAUUUCAUUUAUACAUAUCACAUGACAAAAUUGACAAAAACAAAUUCUUUAUAUAAACUUAGCUUGCUUUGAGAGUACUUUGACACUUGCAUUGGGAUCAAUAUUCUUAUAAAUUCCUAUAAAUUAUAUUUAUUUAUAUAAUUAUUUAUUUAUCAAUAUAAUUUAUUUAUUUUUUAAAAGUCUAGUUUCCAAUUAUUUUUUACUUUCAAAACACAAUUUAUUGAAUCAAAAUAUUUACUUAUUUCCCACAAUUCUCUCUCUCCAAGGGUACAGGACAUUAUUGGCGAACUGUCUCAUAGCCAUGGAGAGGCCAGAUGCAAUUAUACAAGGAAAGCUUUGUAAGCAUUCAAGAUGAAAUAUGCUCUGUCUAUAUAUACACACACCUGUUGAUGUACAUUUCAACCUGCUGACAUUAACAGAUUAAAUGUAGAAAAAGUACCACUUCCUGAUUCUUCAGUUGCAGUUUGGGUGAACACAAGUUUGAGUCGUUCAUGCGCUGCAUAUGCAAUUGUAGAUACUCCAGGAAGAGAAAAGGAUGCGUUAGAUAUGAUCUGUAUAUUCGAGUCGAUGCACUUAAAUUUGUACUUGUUUUGCGCUGAAUUUCCCAAUAAAAACUACUAUUUUCAGAAACAUUUUUCAUAAACAAAAAUAUUAGUGAGAAAAGGCGUCUGAUCCUCAAAGUUAUUGUCUUUGUUCCGUUUCAAUCACAAUUGAGUUCUCUGUACUCUUCUCAUUCUCAUGCAGAAUGCAAGGGCAUCAAAUGGUUCUCUUGAAAAGGAAUUGCUGACCGUUCUUGUUCCAACUGUGGGUUCCACAUGGCUGAUCAUUAGCAUAUUUGGUUAUUUGUGGCUCAGGAACAGAGGAGAAAAAGGUAAAGACAAAGCAAGCAUCAAAACAGAAGGUAGAUAGAGUAACUGUCCAUAAAAGAAUAGUUGACGAACACCACACCUAUAGCAUUCCAUAUGAUGAUGCUGUUAGGUUUCUUCCUCGACACUAGGCAGAAUGGAUCAGUUGUUUAGAAUCAGGAUAGGAGUUUUAGCAGUGGGUACGUCUAGUGCUGAAGAGCUAUCUGUUGUGAUGUAUAACAUAUUUGUUUUCAUUACAAAUCUAAUGGAACUUCAUAUCAGCAAUUAUUCAGACAGUACAGCUUCAGCGACUAGCAAUUUCAGAAAUUGUCACCUCAUUUACAGAACACUGUCCAUCUUCUACGUCUAAUGCUAUAUCAGGAUUAUUGUCAGAUUUUCUAAAGAGGAAUGCAGGUUGUUUUGGAGAAGGAAUCUCUGUUUCGCUACUCAACAUAAAAACAACCGCCAACAUAGAUGGUCUGUCCGUGGCAUCUUCUUGCACGCACAGCAGACCAAUUUGUAUGCAUUUCAAGGCUUCACGCGGAUCAUACAACUCCGUCAGUGAUGGAUCAACUAUCUCCAAUGCUUUGUCUUCUCUCCACAAUUCCCACACCUGUGUUGUUCAUAUAAAUCAUUAGCAUACAAGAAAUAAGAGCAGACAACAUCUAAAAUUGUGAACAAUGAAAUUCAGCCAAGAGCACACAUGGCUCUCUUAUAACUCACAUAUCCAAUCAAGGUCAAAGGAGGAUUCUGUUGAUAAAAUCUGUUGUUCUUCUUGCCACUCACAAUCUCUAGCAACACGACCCCAAAACUGAAAACAUCUGAUUUUACAGAAAAGUUUCCAAGCACAGCAUAUUCUGGUGACAUAUAGCCACUGCAUCAGAAAAACAAGAAUCUGAAGUUUUAGUAUUUCUGGUAAUCAAUGAUAGUACUUUGUCACUCGGUCUUUGUUUUAGGCAAAUGUACUUACAAUGUUCCUACAACUCUCCUGGUCCUAUCUUCAGUUUGGUUGCCUUCAAAUAUUUUUGCCAUUCCAAAAUCUGAUAUUUUUGGGUUCAUCUCUGCAUCCAGUAGAAUGUUGCUACAUUUUAAAUCCCUGUGAAUGAUUCUCAACCUGGAAUCUUGGUGAAGAUAUAAAAUCCCACGAGCUAUUCCAACAAUAAUAUCGAAGCGUUUUCGCCAAUCCAAUAACAAUCUUCUGCUUUCAUCUGUUGAAACAAUUAUUUUUCAAACAGGUAAAAUUUGACAACUAGAGUAAAUCAGGGCAAUAAAUACUUGAAGAGACUUACGGAAAAGAAACGAGUCCAAGCUUUUGUUUGGCAAGUAUUCAUAGAUUAACAUUUGUUCUCCAUCCUGAUUGCAGUAACCUAGAAGUUUCACAAGAUUCCUGUGUUGAAGCUUUGCAAUUACCAUAACUUCAUUUUUAAACUCUUCUAUUCCUUGUCUUGAACUUCUAGAUAACCUUUUUAUUGCAACCUCCAGUCCAUUAGCUAGCAGACCCUAAAAUCAUGUUACAAGAAUAUGGUAAAAAAAUACCUUUAAGGUGACUCAUAUGUCAAUAACAAUUAAGGUUGAAAGUCCAUUGGACGGCCAAUUACAUCCAUGAUAAAUGGAGAUGCAAAAAUUAAGUUAUAUAUAAAGGGUUCUUAAUCUAUUAAAAAAAAUAGUUAUGAAAAGUUUUGUAUUUUCCAUCCGCGUAGUAAACCUAAAGUUUCACAUGGAUUAGGGUCUGUUUGUUUACGCGGUUGCGGCUGCGUUUUAAAUAAACCGUAGAUUUAAGCUGUUUGGUAAAGAUAAAAAUGAGAUUUAUUGUUCAUGGGCCCCAUUGUUUUCUGCGUUGCAAACGCAAGGGGAGAAGAAGCAGCUUGGAGCUGCUUUUUUUGCAAACUGUGUUACAGCACAGUAACCAGAGGCGCGCAACUUUUUCUUCUGCUUCCAGUAACUAGAGGCGCGCAACUUUUUCUUCUACUUCCAGUAACCAAAGGCGCACAACUUCUUCUUCUUCUGCACUUCCAUGUCUCCACUGUUCACGUGAACAGUGGAGACAUGGAAGUGCAGAAGAAGAAGAAGAAGAAGGAGAAUGAGGGGCUGGGGAAAACAGGGAAAGAGUCCAACUCCUGCACCAAGCAAACAAUGAAAAGAGAAGGAGCAGAACAGAGGAAUAGAAAAGUGCUCCACUUUCAUCUUCCUCCCGCUUUGCUUUUAUCAAUAUUACACUAUUCAAGUGAAUUUUAAUUCACUUGAACAGUGUAGCAACACACGUGAAUUUAGUACACGAGUGUUGCUUUGCCCAGCCGGGUCACUGGCUUGGGCCAGUGAUCGGGCCGGGCUGGCUGGGUUUAGCCCAGCCUAUAUGGGUUGGACCAGGUCCAAUCCAAACCUAAAAGCAUUGACCCAGGUCUGUUCCAAACCUAAAUGCAUUGAACUGGGUAUGACCCAGUAAAAUAAAAAAAUCCAAAAAAAUUUCACAGAUAUUGUGUUUUAUUUGAAAAACUAAUGUUUAACAUAAUUCAAUGGCACUAUAUAAUUACAUUUGAAGGAGAUUGUAUGAUGACGUAGCAUUUGUAGAAUUUGAUCGCAAUUCCAAUUUUGUUCUUGAUGAUAUUUUACCUGAUGUUAUUGCACGCUCAGGAAACCAUGGAAACUGUAAUCCUUGUUGGAUAGAUUUCAUACGUGAUAAAAUUACAUAUAAUUUUAUGCAACAAUAAAAUAUAAUUUAUAUAAAGUAUUGUUUAUUUUAUGAUGUAAUAUCAGUACUUAAAUCGAUAAUAUUUCAAUGAAAAACCACCAAUAUUAAUAUAUGUCUUUUUUAAUUAUUUUAUAACCUUAGUUUAAAAGAUAUUCUUUAAUUAAAUACAUUAAAUUACUUUUUGUUGAACCUCAAUUUCAACCACAGUUUUAACCAAACAUAUAUUUUUCCAAACCAACCUCAACUAAAAGUACUUUUUAUAAAACAACUUUUUUCAAACCACAACCACAACAGCUACCGCAAUACCAAACACAGACUCUUUAUUCUUAAUACCACAAAGAUUUUUGAACAAUUAUUUCAACACAUAAUGAAUCAUUAUAGGAGGCAUGUAUCCUAUUAAUUUUCUAUUAUGUACAUGCAUAUAUGCAUGCCAUAUUGAUGUUAUCCUAGAUGUUGUAUUAGAGUAGAGUCUUCUCCAUUCAUGGCUUGUAAAAAUGAGUUUUUGGAGUAUCUUUUAGUCCAACAUCAAAGUCAAACUCUUGAAAAUAUUCAACAUAAUCAUUAGAAAUUAUUGGUCUCCUUGUUUGAACUAAGUGCCCUUGAAUUGAUUAGUGUUUAAAAUUAUCUAAAUAAUUUUUUUGAACAAUAACUAAUUUUUUUUUUAUCUUUAUGCAACCCAUUUAAAUAUUAUGUUUCCUCAAAUUUUAUCCUUUUAGCAAAAUCACUCCUAUUGAAAUUGAGAUCCUUGAUAAAUUUAGCAUUUCUUGCCUUAACUAUUCAUGCAUUAUGAGAAGAAAAAUAAAACAUAUAUCCUUCAGAGUUCACUAUAUAACCAAUGAAAUAUCUACUAAUUAUUCUUGGGUCUAAUUUCUAUAGUUGAGGAUUAUUAAUCCUUACCUCAAAAAAUUGGACUUCUAUCUAUUUCAUAAUUCAAAAGGUAUCUUAACACAUUUUUAGGAUGAAACCCUAUUUUAAAAUAUAUACAACAAUCUUUAAUUCUAACUCUAUAAAGACAUUGGUAAAUUAAAAGUACCAAUUAUGUUCCUUACCAUGUCUAUAAGUGUACGAUUCCUUCUUUUAGCUACAUUAUCUUAUUGUGGUGUGUUAGACAUUGUAUAUUGUACAAUAAUGCCCUCUCCUUUAAGGCAAUGAACCAGACAUUUAUCAAUUUUCGUGUAUCUACCAUAAUACUCUCCAUCUCUAUCUGACCUUACAAACAUUAUGAUAUAUUUUUUUCUCCACCUUAACCUUAUAGGUCUUAAAAGCAUCUAAUGCUUCAGCUUUAUCAAAUAAAAGACAUAGAUACAUAAAUCUACUAGAAUGAUCAUCAAUGAAUAAGGUGAAAUAUAUUUGAUUAUUUAAGCAUAGAGUAAUAAAUAGUCCACAAAUGUCAGUACAUAUGAUUUCAAAAAUUUUAGCAUAACACCUUUAAUGGUAUUGUUAGUUUGCUAACCCUUUAUGCAAUCUACACAAAUACCAAAAUCAAUAAAAUUAAGAGUGUUUAAAACUAUAUCAUUCACUAAUCUUUUAAUUAUUUCAAUGAAGAUGUGAUCUAAUCUUUUAUACCAAAACAUAAAUGAAUUCUCAUCCAUUUUGCUCUUUUUAAUUAUAGAAUCAACAUGCAUUGAUAAAUAGUUGAGUUUAAAAGUAGAGUCUAGAUUGAUUUUAUAUAAAUCAUUAAUUAACGUUCCACCACUAGUAGAAAGUUUAGUUUUUAAAAUACUAAAAACAUUUUCAUCAAACAAAAAUCCAUAACCAACAUCACAAAAUCUAGAAAUUAAAAACCAAAUUUUUAGAAAAUGGUGGAACAUAGAAGAAUUUUUCAAAUCCAAAAUAAGUCCAGAUUUUAAAAUUAAUCUAGAAGUCCCCACAACUUCAACUUCAAAGCGUAUCUAGUUUCUUGAAUAGAUGUCUUCUUCAUUUUCCUUUAGCUUUUUUAGUGUAAUAUUUUAAAAGAAAGAAAGGUUUUAAUAAAAAAAUGGCAAGAAUAUCUUUGAAUGAGUAGAUAUUAGAUAUAAAUGAAUGAGAGAGAUUUUGAUAAUUGCACAAAACUUGUUAAAUAUAAUAAGAAGAGUAAGACAAAAAAAAGAAAGAGAUUUAAGUGUUUGACUAUAAUUUCUUUUAGCUAAUAGUCUAGACAUUUAUUAUUAUUAUUAUUAUUAGAUAUUAAAUUGAUGUUUUGUGCAGAUAAGGUAUUAUUUUCUAUAUCUAUUGGGAUAUAUGAUUUAUUUGUUCAUUAAGUGUUUAUUUUAAUGAUGCAAUAAAUUGUAAUACAUGAAAGGAAAUACUUGAUUAUAAAAUGAAAUCACUAUGAUUUAUAUGUUGUAUUUUUUAUUUAAGUACUAUAUAUUUUGAACUCUAGAAAAAUAUCGUUACUUCUCUGUUCAUGUCAUGUGGGCUAAGUGGAAAAAUAAUAAUAAAAAUAUUCUUAAAUUUACCAAUAUAUACCAUGUAGAUUUUAAAUUAACUGACAAUUAAAGCUUAGAACUCAUUGAACUAACUCUAGUAGAAGGCCAAGUACAUCCAUGAUUGAUAAAUGGAGGGGUAAAAAUUUAGGUUAUCUGUAAAGGGUCCAUAUUCUAGCAAAAAAAAAAAAAAAAGUUAUGAAAAGCCAUGUGUCUUCCAUCCAAUUAGUAACUCUAAAACUUUACAUGAAUUAAAAGAUUUUAUUAUUAUUGAAACCACAAAAAUAGAUUUCUGUACAAUUAUCUCAAUAUUUAAUCAAUCAUUACACCAAGAGGAAUGUAUCCUAUUAAUUUUGUACCGUGUUUAUAUGCCUGGCGUAUUAAAGUUUUCUUACAUAUUAAGCAUCUAAACUACCAAUAAGCUAGAAAAAACAAAUCUGUAUUAUUGAGAACACAUUUAAUUUUCAGCUAGAAAAUGAAUUGAGAAACUCUACCUUAUAAACCGAGCCAAAACCACCUUGCCCGAGUUCGUUAGCUGGAGAGAAAUUGUUUGUGGCCGCCAUUAUGGUGCUGAGCUUGAAACAUUCCGAUUCAGUAGAAUUGCUGUUUAUCUGCAGCUCGGUACCUGGUUUUUUUGCCCAUGAAUCAAAAAGUGAACUUCUCCUCAUAACCAGAGGAGAAUAAAUACAUGACUAGGGAAGCAAAUCCAAAUAGAGAUUUGAGAGUCUUGUCUUACCUUUUUUUGCCCCCUUCUUGAGCCGCAAAUAAGCAGUUAGGCUAAUGAGAAACAACAAUAAUGCAAUUGAUGGUGCUAAAAUGGCCUGCAUCGUUUUUUCCCGAGAACCAUUUAGCUUCCUUGUAUUACCAGCUGCAUGAGAAUGAAAACAAUAACGAUUAACUCCAGACGAAAAACCACUCCCUUCUCCUAUGGAAACAUGGCAAGACAUAUGGCAAAGGCUGUCCCCUUCGGCACCUAAUAAGUAUCUAUAUCGUUUCUUUCACGUAGUACACAGCUUAUUAAGUACAGUCUAGAGCAGUGACAAGAAUAGAAAAGCUCUUAUAAAUCAAUAUUUGUAAUCACAAUCCUUUGAAAUUGUUACGGAGAAGAAAAAGGGUACCUAAUUCAUAUGCAUCAACACGAACAUACAGAUCAUGACUUUCAAUCCUAUCAUAUUUAAUGUCUACUAAUUCCUUGUGCCAAUUCAAACAACCAUCCCCUUUUCCGGGAAUCACAAUGACAGCGUAAGCAGAGCAUGAACAAUUCCUCUUGCAUUCCAGUUCACAGUACUCUGCACGACUCUUGCUCAUGUCCACCCAAGCUGCAGCUGAAGUGUCCGGAAGAAUUACAUUUUCCACCUUCACAAACCCUUCUCCAUGAUCGCACACCGAAGAUGUCUGUAGCCGCUUCCUGACACAACCACCGGACCCAUCUCUCAAUGACCAUUCCAUUGGGUUCUUGGGCUCGAACCCAGGUAAACAGGCACAUCCAAAAGCAUUAUAAUUGGCAAGUUCACACGUACUAUAAGCACCACAGUAUCCAUAAUAGUCGCACUGUAACUGAGGGGACUUCCAGUAUUCCUUCCACCGACCAUCACUUUCUCGCCAUGUUAACAUCUUUAGAAGUCCUGAAUGAUCCACUAUUAGUCUUACCAGAUAAUAACCAUCAGGAACUGUUGAUUGACAGUAUAUUUCGUCUGGAUCAUUUACAAAAACGCUUUUGAAUGUGCCCAUCUGACUUCUCCAUGGCCAAGGGGGAGCUCUAGUAAUUGGCUUUGUACCAUUAUAGAGAAAGAAUUGUGGUGAACCAUUUGGGUUGAUCCUAAUUGAAAAGUCUCCAAUUCCAGGGUCAUCAGCUGAUCUCCAUGAUGUUAGGAACCGAUCAGUUCCUAAUUUUCGAUCCAGCCCCAGUUUCAUUCCAGGUAGCUGUAUGUUAGUAGGAUAAUCGAAGCUCUGCCAUACAAUUUUUCUGCUUCUUUUCCUGACCAGUAUCAAAUUCCCAGAAUCCAAGAGUUGAGCUUCACAAGUAUCAUUUUCUUCCACUGAAACAUUGGUAGACCACACUAGAAGCUUUUGGUCAUCUUUACGAUAGAGAACGAGGUUACCAAAUUGGUUUAUGAAGAGAAAGCCAGAGGAACCAAUGAUUGGAUCGUUCCUGUUUGCAACCCACACCACAGUUUGUUCUGGUAUUUUAUGGUACCAAAUUCCAAGAUAUCUAUUGGUUGAACUGCCAGGACUGAAAAAUCCUAGUGCGAAAAUAUUUCCUUUGGAGAUAAGAAGGUCACCUUCUUUAAUGGUUUGGUUGGUCUUUAAGGAUUCUUGGGAUGUACAAGAUAAGAAUUGGAGCAUUAUA